This 641-nucleotide ribosomal RNA is filed under the name uncultured beta proteobacterium. RNAcentral's name for it is "bacterial SSU rRNA". It matches the Rfam family "Bacterial small subunit ribosomal RNA", at positions 85 to 722 of the family's 1533-position model. Lineage: Bacteria; Pseudomonadati; Pseudomonadota; Betaproteobacteria. The record is from RNAcentral.
CUGGCGGCGAGUGGCGAACGGGUGAGUAAUACAUCGGAACGUGCCCAAUCGUGGGGGAUAACGCAGCGAAAGCUGUGCUAAUACCGCAUACGAUCUACGGAUGAAAGCAGGGGAUCGCAAGACCUUGCGCGAAUGGAGCGGCCGAUGGCAGAUUAGGUAGUUGGUGAGGUAAAGGCUCACCAAGCCUUCGAUCUGUAGCUGGUCUGAGAGGACGACCAGCCACACUGGGACUGAGACACGGCCCAGACUCCUACGGGAGGCAGCAGUGGGGAAUUUUGGACAAUGGGCGAAAGCCUGAUCCAGCCAUGCCGCGUGCAGGAUGAAGGCCUUCGGGUUGUAAACUGCUUUUGUACGGAACGAAACGGCCUUUUCUAAUAAAGAGGGCUAAUGACGGUACCGUAAGAAUAAGCACCGGCUAACUACGUGCCAGCAGCCGCGGUAAUACGUAGGGUGCAAGCGUUAAUCGGAAUUACUGGGCGUAAAGCGUGCGCAGGCGGUUAUGUAAGACAGUUGUGAAAUCCCCGGGCUCAACCUGGGAACUGCAUCUGUGACUGCAUAGCUAGAGUACGGUAGAGGGGGAUGGAAUUCCGCGUGUAGCAGUGAAAUGCGUAGAUAUGCGGAGGAACACCGAUGGCGAAGGC